This 421-nucleotide ribosomal RNA is filed under the name uncultured bacterium. RNAcentral describes it as "bacterial SSU rRNA". It matches the Rfam family "Bacterial small subunit ribosomal RNA", at positions 39 to 455 of the family's 1533-position model. The record is from RNAcentral.
GGCCGCGGGAAUUCGAUUCAGGCCUAACACAUGCAAGUCGAGCGAUUCUCUUCGGAGAAGAGCGGCGGACGGGUGAGUAACGCGUGGGUAACCUGCCCUGUACACACGGAUAACAUACCGAAAGGUAUGCUAAUACGAGAUAAUAUGCUUUUAUCGCAUGGUAGAAGUAUCAAAGCUUUUGCGGUACAGGAUGGACCCGCGUCUGAUUAGCUAGUUGGUGAGGUAACGGCUCACCAAGGCGACGAUCAGUAGCCGACCUGAGAGGGUGAUCGGCCACAUUGGAACUGAGACACGGUCCAAACUCCUACGGGAGGCAGCAGUGGGGAAUAUUGCACAGGGGGCGAAAGCCUGAUGCAGCAACGCCGCGUGAGCGAAGGAGGCCUUCGGGUCGUAAAGCUCUGUCCUCAAGGAAGAUAAUGAC